ACGAACGCUGGCGGCAUGCCUAACACAUGCAAGUCGAACGAGACCUUCGGGUCUAGUGGCGCACGGGUGCGUAACGCGUGGGAAUCUGCCCUUGGGUUCGGAAUAACAGUUGGAAACGACUGCUAAUACCGGAUGAUGACGUAAGUCCAAAGAUUUAUCGCCCAGGGAUGAGCCCGCGUAGGAUUAGCUAGUUGGUGAGGUAAAGGCUCACCAAGGCGACGAUCCUUAGCUGGUCUGAGAGGAUGAUCAGCCACACUGGGACUGAGACACGGCCCAGACUCCUACGGGAGGCAGCAGUGGGGAAUAUUGGACAAUGGGCGAAAGCCUGAUCCAGCAAUGCCGCGUGAGUGAUGAAGGCCUUAGGGUUGUAAAGCUCUUUUACCCGGGAAGAUAAUGACUGUACCGGGAGAAUAAGCUCCGGCUAACUCCGU
This 431-nucleotide ribosomal RNA is filed under the name uncultured bacterium. Its description in RNAcentral is "bacterial SSU rRNA". It matches the Rfam family "Bacterial small subunit ribosomal RNA", at positions 29 to 506 of the family's 1533-position model. The record is from RNAcentral.